GUGAGGAAUCUUGCGCAAUGGGGGAAACCCUGACGCAGCGACGCCGCGUGGAGGACGAAGGCCUUCGGGUCGUAAACUCCUGUCAAGUGGGACGAAUGCCGGGGGAGUGAACACCUCUCCCGGUUGACGGUACCGCUGGAGGAAGCCCCGGCUAACUCCGUGCCAGCAGCCGCGGUAAUACGGAGGGGGCCAGCGUUGUUCGGAAUCAUUGGGCGUAAAGGGCGCGUAGGCGGCCCUGCAAGUCAGACGUGUAAGCCCAUGGCUCAACUGUGGAAUUGCGUUUGAAACUGCAGGGCUUGAGUCCCGGAGAGGGUAGUGGAAUUCCCAGUGUAGCGGUGAAAUGCGUAGAUAUUGGGAGGAACACCGGUGGCGAAGGCGGCUACCUGGACGGGUACUGACGCUGAGGCGCGAAAGCGUGGGGAGCAAACAGGAUUAGAAACCCCGGUAGUCC
This 451-nucleotide ribosomal RNA is filed under the name uncultured bacterium. RNAcentral describes it as "bacterial SSU rRNA". It matches the Rfam family "Bacterial small subunit ribosomal RNA", at positions 354 to 796 of the family's 1533-position model. The record is from RNAcentral.